GACGAACGCUGGCGGCGUGCCUAACACAUGCAAGUCGAACGGAGAUAUUUGAAAGAAGUUUUCGGAUGGAUUUUAAAUAUCUUAGUGGCGGACGGGCGAGUAACGCGUGAGCAACCUGCCCUUCAGUGGGGAAUAACGACCGGAAACGGGCGCUAAUACCGCAUAAAAUAUACAUUUGGCAUCGAAAGUAUAUCAAAGGAGCAAUUCGCUGAAGGAUGGGCUCGCGUCCGAUUAGCUGGUUGGUGAGGUAACGGCUCACCAAGGCGACGAUCGGUAGCCGAACUGAGAGGUUGAUCGGCCGCAUUGGGACUGAGACACGGCCCAGACUCCUACGGGAGGCAGCAGUGGGGGAUAUUGCACAAUGGAGGAAACUCUGAUGCAGCAACGCCGCGUGAGGGAAGAAGGUCUUCGGAUUGUAAACCUUAGUAGUCAGGGACGAAACAAAUGACGGUACCUGAAGAGUAAGCUCCGGCUAACUACGUGCCAGCAGCCGCGGUAAGAGU
RNAcentral lists this ribosomal RNA (503 nucleotides) under uncultured bacterium. RNAcentral describes it as "bacterial SSU rRNA". It matches the Rfam family "Bacterial small subunit ribosomal RNA", at positions 28 to 528 of the family's 1533-position model. The record is from RNAcentral.